Molecule: ribosomal RNA, 218 nt
Filed under: uncultured bacterium
Lineage: Bacteria
Description: partial 16S ribosomal RNA
Rfam family: Bacterial small subunit ribosomal RNA
Source: RNAcentral
ACGCUCGACACCUACUGGAGGCAGCAGUGAGGAAUAUUGGUCAAUGGGCGCUAGCCUGAACCAGCCAAGUAGCGUGAAGGAUGAAGGCUCUAUGGGUCGUAAACUUCUUUUAUAUAAGAAUAAAGUGCAGUAUGUAUACUGUUUUGUAUGUAUUAUAUGAAUAAGGAUCGGCUAACUCCGUGCCCGCAGCCGCGGUAAUCUGAGCGGGCUGGCAAGGC